RNAcentral lists this non-coding RNA (186 nucleotides) under Gammaproteobacteria bacterium. RNAcentral describes it as "6S RNA". It matches the Rfam family "6S / SsrS RNA". Rfam says of the family: E. coli 6S RNA was the first non coding RNA to be sequenced, but its function was unknown until recently. It consists of 184 nucleotides that fold into an extended hairpin structure with a large single-stranded internal bulge. The record is from RNAcentral. Lineage: Bacteria; Pseudomonadati; Pseudomonadota; Gammaproteobacteria.
CAGUCUCCGGGGUGUCUGCGAGUUGGUUUUCGUCCCGAACCGUUAGAAGAAAUUUAGGAGACACUGGUGAAUUGUUGGUGUGCAGGCCGGCGGACUAACGUGCCGGAAGCCUAAUGCCUUUCCCGGGUCACCGCCUUGAACCACAACGGUUCAGGGUCUGACCGCUCACUGCAUCCCGGAAGCACA